RNAcentral lists this ribosomal RNA (520 nucleotides) under uncultured bacterium. RNAcentral describes it as "bacterial SSU rRNA". It matches the Rfam family "Bacterial small subunit ribosomal RNA", at positions 120 to 674 of the family's 1533-position model. The record is from RNAcentral.
GGGAACGUACCUUUUGGUUCGGAACAACACAGGGAAACUUGUGCUAAUACCGGAUAAGCCCUUACGGGGAAAGAUUUAUCGCCGAAAGAUCGGCCCGCGUCUGAUUAGCUAGUUGGUAGGGUAACGGCCUACCAAGGCGACGGUCAGUAGCUGGUCUGAGAGGAUGAUCAGCCACAUUGGGACUGAGACACGGCCCAAACUCCUACGGGAGGCAGCAGUGGGGAAUAUUGGACAAUGGGGGCAACCCUGAUCCAGCCAUGCCGCGUGAGUGAUGAUGGCCCUAGGGUUGUAAAGCUCUUUUGUGCGGGAAGAUAAUGACGGUACCGCAAGAAUAAGCCCCGGCUAACUUCGUGCCAGCAGCCGCGGUAAUACGAAGGGGGCUAGCGUUGCUCGGAAUCACUGGGCGUAAAGGGUGCGUAGGCGGGUUUUUAAGUCAGAGGUGAAAUCCUGGAGCUCAACUCCAGAACUGCCUUUGAUACUGGGAAUCUUGAGUAUGGAAGAGGUGAGUGGAACUGCGAGU